AGUGAACGCUGGCGGUAGGCCUAACACAUGCAAGUCGAACGGCAGCACAGUAAGAGCUUGCUCUUACGGGUGGCGAGUGGCGGACGGGUGAGGAAUACAUCGGAAUCUACUUUUUCGUGGGGGAUAACGUAGGGAAACUUACGCUAAUACCGCAUACGACCUACGGGUGAAAGCAGGGGAUCUUCUGACCUUGCGCGAUUGAAUGAGCCGAUGUCGGAUUAGCUAGUUGGCGGGGUAAAGGCCCACCAAGGCGACGAUCCGUAGCUGGUCUGAGAGGAUGAUCAGCCACACUGGAACUGAGACACGGUCCAGACUCCUACGGGAGGCAGCAGUGGGGAAUAUUGGACAAUGGGCGCAAGCCUGAUCCAGCCAUACCGCGUGGGUGAAGAAGGCCUUCGGGUUGUAAAGCCCUUUUGUUGGGAAAGAAAAGCAGCAGGUUAAUACCCCGCUGUUCUGACGGUACCUAAAGAAUAAGCACCGGCUAACUUCGUG
Molecule: ribosomal RNA, 492 nt
Filed under: uncultured bacterium
Lineage: Bacteria
Description: partial 16S ribosomal RNA
Rfam family: Bacterial small subunit ribosomal RNA
Source: RNAcentral